Non-coding RNA from Macrolepiota fuliginosa MF-IS2, 105 nucleotides. Lineage: Eukaryota; Fungi; Basidiomycota; Agaricomycetes; Agaricales; Agaricaceae. The record is from the annotation of a GenBank genome assembly.
GGGCGCUUGGCCUAGUGGUAUGGCGUAUGCUUUGCACCAAACAGUGUUACACACUGCAUGGUUCCUGAUUGUAUAAGAUCACGAGUUCGAUCCUCGUAGCGUCCA